UGACAGGUGGUGCAUGGUUGUCGUCAGCUCGUGUCGUGAGAUGUUGGGUUAAGUCCCGCAACGAGCGCAACCCUUAUUGUUAGUUGCCAUCAUUUAGUUGGGCACUCUAGCGAGACUGCCGGUGACAAACCGGAGGAAGGUGGGGAUGACGUCAAAUCAUCAUGCCCCUUAUGACCUGGGCUACACACGUGCUACAAUGGGAAGUACAACGAGUCGCUAGACCGCGAGGUCAUGCAAAUCUCUUAAAGCUUCUCUCAGUUCGGAUUGCAGGCUGCAACUCGCCUGCAUGAAGCCGGAAUCGCUAGUAAUCGCGGAUCAGCACGCCGCGGUGAAUACGUUCCCGGGCCUUGUACACACCGCCCGUCACACCACGAGAGUUUGUAACACCCGAAGUCGGUGAGGUAACCUUUUUGGAGCCAGCCGCCUAAGGUGGGAUAGAUGAUUGGGGUGAAGUCGUAACAAGGUAGCCGUAUCGGAAGGUGCGGCUGGAUCACCUCCUUUCUAAGGAA
This 509-nucleotide ribosomal RNA is filed under the name Enterococcus faecalis. RNAcentral's name for it is "bacterial SSU rRNA". It matches the Rfam family "Bacterial small subunit ribosomal RNA", at positions 1032 to 1533 of the family's 1533-position model. Lineage: Bacteria; Bacillati; Bacillota; Bacilli; Lactobacillales; Enterococcaceae. The record is from RNAcentral.